AUGGCCUGGACCCCUCUCCUCCUCGUGCUCCUCUCUCACUGCACAGGUUCCCUCUCCCAGCUUGUGCUGACUCAGCCGCCCUCCCUCUCUGCAUCUCCUGGAGCAUCAGCCAGACUCACCUGCACCCUCAGCAGUGGCUUCAGUGUUGGCGGCUACUACAUAUACUGGUUGCAGCAGAAGCCAGGGAGCCCUCCGAAGUUCCUCCUGUGGUAUAAAUCAGACUCAGAGAAGUACCAGGGAUCCGGGGUCCCCAGCCGCUUCUCUGGAUCCAAAGACGCCUCGGCCAACGCAGGGCUCCUGACCAUCUGUGGGCUGCAGCCUGAGGACGAGGCUGACUAUUACUGUGCUACACAUGAAGUCUCUAGUAGUAACUACCCUAACUGGUGCCAGCAGACCCCAGGCCAGGCUCCCCGCACGCUCAUCUAUGACACAGACAGCCGGCCCUCUGGGGUCCCUGAGCGCUUCUCGGGAUCCAUCUCUGGGGACAAAGCCACCCUCACCAUCACGGGGGCCCAGCCUGAGGACGAGGCCGACUAUUACUGUGCUACAGAGCAUGGCAGUGGGAGCAGCUUCCAUCGCUCACAGUGGCUCAGAUGA
Phyllostomus hastatus (greater spear-nosed bat) is the source of this 597-nucleotide non-coding RNA. The record is from the annotation of a RefSeq genome assembly. Lineage: Eukaryota; Metazoa; Chordata; Mammalia; Chiroptera; Phyllostomidae.